AAGAAUGAAUUUUUUCUCAGAUCCCCGACACGAGAGCUCAGCAUGGCUUACACCGUGAUUUCAGCCAGCCUUGUGAUAUUCUGAGUAGAGAACUUGGCCAUUCUGUGCUGGACUUCUGACCUACAGAACUGGGUAACUGCAAUAGCAUCAUCAUCUCUCCGUGGUCAAGCAGAAGGAUGGAGCAAAGGGAUAAGUUUGCUCUUUGCUCGGAAAUCCUGGACUGUGCAGAAACAUGAAAAUAUUUGUGGACAACUUCUUCCAACAGUUACCACAUGGGAAAAGACAUGGAACCUUGGAGUGCUACUUGUAUUUAAGGAACAUGUUUCAGUGCUG
This 333-nucleotide long non-coding RNA is filed under the name Equus asinus (donkey). Its description in RNAcentral is "lncRNA (ENSEASG00005030685.1, ENSEASG00020027139.1)". The record is from RNAcentral. Lineage: Eukaryota; Metazoa; Chordata; Mammalia; Perissodactyla; Equidae.